This is a non-coding RNA of Myotis davidii, 75 nucleotides long. NCBI's taxonomy places the organism in Eukaryota, Metazoa, Chordata, Mammalia, Chiroptera, Vespertilionidae. The record is from Rfam.
GGUGGUUCUCAGGUGACACACCCUAGAAUCGGGCUCCCUCCUAUCUGGUUACAGGUGCAUCACCCCAAAACCACA